Molecule: long non-coding RNA, 282 nt
Organism: Galeopterus variegatus (Sunda flying lemur)
Lineage: Eukaryota; Metazoa; Chordata; Mammalia; Dermoptera; Cynocephalidae
Exons: 3
Source: RefSeq, a predicted model, not a curated record
GGCCCAGGACGCCACCUACUGUCCGCAAGCAGCUUCUGAGAGCAGCCUAACAGGAAACUGCGGGUGACGGGGCGAGAGCGCGCGUCUCCGCGGCUGCGCAGAGAAGGGGCUCCAGGGGGCCGCGCAGACUGGAUUUAAGUGUUUUGGGGAGGAAGACCAUGGACAGGAAAAGACGUUAUCAUCAGAUCAUAUCAAGGCCUCCAGAGUAAUGAUGAAUGGAAGUGAUGAGAGUUGGCACCUUUGUAUUAUUUCUUAUCUUUGGGAAAAUGUGAGCUUUUGAAG